AAUAGUUUGUUUGACCAUUUCAGUUGUGCCUUAGGUUUAAAGAUUAAUAGAAAAAUCUAGAGCUUUCUAUAGGUUCAAGAAACAUAAGAAAAAGGGGUUUGAAUUGAGUUUCUAAAUGAUUUAGACUUUUUCCCAAUUUCAACACACAAUAAACCAAGACAAUAAAAACAAUAGGGUAUUCCGCCUGCAUUGUGUUUGUGACCG
Molecule: long non-coding RNA, 204 nt
Filed under: Trifolium pratense (red clover)
Lineage: Eukaryota; Viridiplantae; Streptophyta; Magnoliopsida; Fabales; Fabaceae
Description: long non-coding RNA (TPRA_LNC013086)
Source: RNAcentral